AGUGAGAUGAAAACUGAUGAGGACUAAAGUAUACCUACGAUUGAAGUAAGAGAUCGGUCAGUUCAGAUGUCCCGCCGUCUGUAGACGUUAGGCAGAUGUCGAAUAUCAGCUGCCAUGGAGACUGAAACAGGCUUGAUGCCGAAGUCAAGAUAAGGUUGAAGUCAGGAUCAACCUAUCUUGAGUGUUCUGCCUAGAGAGAUCACUAGGAGUCAAGAAUCGUCAGGAGCUGAAACUAGCUA
RNAcentral lists this long non-coding RNA (239 nucleotides) under Elaeis guineensis (African oil palm). RNAcentral's name for it is "long non-coding RNA (EGUI_LNC031567)". Lineage: Eukaryota; Viridiplantae; Streptophyta; Magnoliopsida; Arecales; Arecaceae. The record is from RNAcentral.